RNAcentral lists this non-coding RNA (409 nucleotides) under Prunus persica (peach). RNAcentral's name for it is "rRNA LSU_rRNA_eukarya". It matches the Rfam family "Eukaryotic large subunit ribosomal RNA", at positions 1891 to 2358 of the family's 3401-position model. Lineage: Eukaryota; Viridiplantae; Streptophyta; Magnoliopsida; Rosales; Rosaceae. The record is from Rfam by way of RNAcentral.
UGGAACAAUGUAGGCAAGGGAAGUUGGCAAAAUAGAUUUGUAACCUAGGAAAAAGUUUUGGUUUUGAGGGUUGGGCACAAGGGUUCCAAUCAUGAACCCGUAAGCUAUCGGUGGAUUGCUUAAGCUACUCCCGCAGGCCAUCGCGUGCCUACCAGGGGACUGACUGGGAGCAUUCCUUUGGGGACUUUCCCCAGGCGUCGAACAGCCACCUCAAAACUGGUACGGAUAAUGCUAACGCAAUGUGAUUUUUGCCUAGCGCUCUGGAUGUCAAAGUGAAGAAUUUCAAACAAGUGAGGAUAAACGACAGAAGUAACUAUGACUCUCUUAAGGUAGCCAAAUGCCUCGUCAUCUAAUUAGUGACACUUAUGAAUGGAUUAACGAGAUUCCCACUGUCCUUGUCUACUAUCCA